This 68-nucleotide transfer RNA is filed under the name Marmota monax (woodchuck). RNAcentral describes it as "tRNA.Ala". The record is from RNAcentral. Lineage: Eukaryota; Metazoa; Chordata; Mammalia; Rodentia; Sciuridae.
GUUGUGGCGCAAAGGCAGAGCAUUUGCCUGGCAUGUAUUAGGCCCUGGGUUCAAUCCUCAGCACCACA